Molecule: long non-coding RNA, 234 nt
Filed under: Nicotiana benthamiana
Lineage: Eukaryota; Viridiplantae; Streptophyta; Magnoliopsida; Solanales; Solanaceae
Description: long non-coding RNA (NBEN_LNC022223)
Source: RNAcentral
AGAACUCCUUUCUGUUCUAAUAAAGAAGAAUAUAUGUUUUUUGGUAUCACGGCUGUUGUUGAAGAAGAAGACAUCCAUGAAGGUUUUUGGUUGUAUAUCAAAAUAAGAAUAAAUGGCUCCUAGAUCUAGAGUUCCACCCUUUUGUUGUGUUUCUAGGUCUUUUGUUCUAAAGAAGAAGAAGAGCAGCGACUGAUAUCUUAGGGACCUAAGGGUCUUUAGGUUAGCUGUUGUAUU